UGUGUAGGCGGUUCUCAAAGUUUGGUGUGAAAUCUCCCGGCUCAACCGGGAGGGUGCGCCGAAAACUGGAGGGCUAGAGUGCGGGAAGGGAGAGUGGAAUUCCUGGUGUAGCGGUGAAAUGCGUAGAUAUCAGGAGGAACACCGGUGGUGUAGACGGCUCUCUGGACCGCGACUGACGCUGAGACACGAAAGCGUGGGUAGCAAACA
Molecule: ribosomal RNA, 207 nt
Filed under: uncultured bacterium
Lineage: Bacteria
Description: partial 16S ribosomal RNA
Rfam family: Bacterial small subunit ribosomal RNA
Source: RNAcentral